This 76-nucleotide transfer RNA is filed under the name Ketobacter alkanivorans. It matches the Rfam family "tRNA". Rfam says of the family: Transfer RNA (tRNA) molecules are approximately 80 nucleotides in length. Their secondary structure includes four short double-helical elements and three loops (D, anti-codon, and T loops). Lineage: Bacteria; Pseudomonadati; Pseudomonadota; Gammaproteobacteria; Pseudomonadales; Ketobacteraceae. RNAcentral also lists the same sequence under 1 other name. The record is from RNAcentral.
UGGGAUGUAGCUCAGUUGGCAGAGCAGGCGGCUGUUAACCGCCAGGUCGUAGGUUCGAGCCCUACCAUUCCAGCCA